AACGAACGCUGGCGGCAUGCCUAACACAUGCAAGUCGAACGAGACCUUCGGGUCUAGUGGCGCACGGGUGCGUAACGCGUGGGAACCUGCCCUUAGGUUCGGAAUACCUCCCCGACAGGGGUGCUAAUACCGGAUAAUGUCUUCGGAUAAAAGAUUUAUCGUCUUUGGAUGGGCCCGCGUUGGAUUAGCUAGUUGGUAGGGUAAAAGCCUACCACGGCGACGAUCCAUAGCUGGUCUGAGAGGAUGAGCAGCCACACUGGGACUGUGACACGGCCCAGACUCCUACGGGAGGCAGGAGUGGGGAAUAUAGGACAAUGGGCGAAAGCCUGAUCCAGCAAUGCCGCGUGAGUGAUGAAGGCCGUAGGGAUGUAAAGCACUUUUACCCGGGAUGAUAAUGACAGUACCGGGAGAAUAAGCUCCGGCUAACUCCGUG
This 433-nucleotide ribosomal RNA is filed under the name uncultured bacterium. RNAcentral's name for it is "partial 16S ribosomal RNA". It matches the Rfam family "Bacterial small subunit ribosomal RNA", at positions 29 to 507 of the family's 1533-position model. The record is from RNAcentral.